Molecule: ribosomal RNA, 256 nt
Filed under: uncultured bacterium
Lineage: Bacteria
Description: partial 16S ribosomal RNA
Rfam family: Bacterial small subunit ribosomal RNA
Source: RNAcentral
UAAUACGAAGGGGGCUAGCGUUGCUCGGAAUUACUGGGCGUAAAGGGCGCGUAGGCGGACAGCUUAGUCAGAGGUGAAAGCCCAGGGCUCAACCUUGGAACUGCCUUUGAUACUGGCUGUCUUGAGUUUGGGAGAGGUGUGUGGAACUCCGAGUGUAGAGGUGAAAUUCGUAGAUAUUCGGAAGAACACCAGUGGCGAAGGCGACACACUGGCCCAAUACUGACGCUGAGGCGCGAAAGCGUGGGGAGCAAACAGG